RNAcentral lists this unclassified non-coding RNA (400 nucleotides) under uncultured fungus. RNAcentral's name for it is "sequence contains ITS1". The stretch from base 1 to 105 matches the Rfam family "5.8S ribosomal RNA", at positions 50 to 154 of the family's 154-position model. The record is from RNAcentral. Lineage: Eukaryota; Fungi.
GAACUGCGAUAAGUGUGGUGAAUCGCAGAACACCGCGAACCAUUAAACCGUUGAACGCACAUUGCGGCCUCCAGUCCGCUGGGGGUCACGCGUCGCUGAGUGUCGGUUCAAACCUAAUGGGAGACCAACCGAAAGGUCAUUCUCUCCAAUGUGUUGGUGCGGCUUACCACCGCUCUAAUGAAGUGAAGGCAGGCGCAAUGUCGGCGUCGAUCAAGGUACCGUACUUGUGGCAUCAGAGGCUGUAUGGGAUUGGGUAUCAUUGUCUCUAGUUGUCCGAACGGCUCUGCGAUCUGUCGAUGUCUGCUACCUUCCUCACAGAAGAGUGUGCACUUGUUGUGCACUCCUAUGUGUGACCAGAGAGGGGUUCUCUGAGAGGAGAGCUUCUCCACCCACUGACCUC